GUGGCGUGCCUUUUGAAGAAUGAGCCUGCGAGUUAGUGAUACGUGGCGAGGUUAACCCGUGUGGGGAAGCCGUAGCGAAAGCGAGUCUGAAUAGGGCGAACAUAGUUAGUUUGAGUAGACGCGAAACCGUGUGAUCUACCCUUGGGCAGGUUGAAGCUUUGUUAACCCAAAGUGGAGGACCGAACCCGUUGACGUUGAAAAGUCUUGGGAUGACCUGAGGGUAGGGGUGAAAGGCCAAUCAAACUCGGAAAUAGCUGGUUCUCCGCGAAAUCUAUUUAGGUAGA
Molecule: ribosomal RNA, 284 nt
Filed under: Chaetoceros curvisetus
Lineage: Eukaryota; Bacillariophyta; Thalassiosirophyceae; Chaetocerotales; Chaetocerotaceae
Description: partial Bacterial large subunit ribosomal RNA
Rfam family: Bacterial large subunit ribosomal RNA
Source: RNAcentral